Meriones unguiculatus (Mongolian gerbil) is the source of this 2844-nucleotide long non-coding RNA. The record is from Ensembl. Lineage: Eukaryota; Metazoa; Chordata; Mammalia; Rodentia; Muridae.
GACCACACUGGCCUUGAGCUCAGAACAAUCCACCUGUCUCGGCCCCCAAGUGCUGGGAUUAAAGGUGUGUGCCACCUGUGCCCAGCGAAUUCAGAACUUCCUACUCCUAGGCAAGUGCUCUAUCACUGAGCUACAACCUCGAUCCCGAAAGAGUGCUUGUGUUCCAUUAAUAAUGAACUUUAAUUUUUUUUAAAUAUAGGAGACCAAGCAAGUUGGUUAAUGCCUGCAGUGCACACCAAGCAGGAGAAACCUCUCCAGAAAAGAAAUCCGGAUAGUGGCUUGGUAUUUAGGCUUACACAGCACCUUCACUAAAGAGCAGGCAGAUCUUAGGAGGAAAAAUGGACAUCAGGUUUGGCUUUUGGCUGCCACAGGUGUGGCAUUAUGAAAAGCCUAGAAGGAAGAUGUCUGUCUUAUUUGCCAGGAUUGUGUCAACAUCAAGAAGAGGACAGUGCUAAGACUGGAGGUGGUCAAGGCGAAACUUCCAUCAGCUGACUUUAGAGAUCAUCAGACAUCAGCUGUCUCUAUGAGUUCACCCAAGUCCAGCCUCAGCUAGAUCCAAGGCGUGUAUCUGAGAUGCAAGGUUGGCACCAUAUCUGCUCUGGCUCCCAAGGACUGGCCCCUGGGUCUAUCUUCACAAAAGGCUGGUGAUGACCUUCUGAAGAUAAUUGACUGGAAUGAUCUGAGAGUUACAAUGAAGCUGACAGACAGACCCAGACCAGGUGCUAUCAUUUGCUUCCUUCCUCCCCAUCAAACGCCCCCCAAGGAACCACUGAGAGACAGAGGCAGACAAAAUGAUGAAGCCCAGCGGAAACGCCACUCUUGGCAUGACGGAAAAGGCUGUGAAUUUUUGUGUGUGCUUUCCUCUCCACCCUCGCAGCCCGUUCCCAUCAACACAGCAAAAGGAGUGAGGGAGUGUGGGGUAGGAGUAGCUGGCUGGAGCUGCUGGUCGUCUCUCCCCAUCGUGGUACUGUCCAGGUUCACAAGAGCUAAGUCCUACCUCGAGGCGGUGAGCAGCCAGUGAGAGCAGAAGCUCCCACAGGGAGCCCCGCAGCCCACUGGCCGCGCGGUUCUGAUCGACAAGAACUUCCCUUCGGACCACCGGAGUCUCAGUGGCAGCAGAGAAAAAGAUGAACGCUCCAAGCGUUCUGUAUUCUUGAGUGGACGUGAGAAGAAAGGGCCGAGGAAGAGCAGUCACAGGCUUUGAUUGCUUCCCUGUUCCUUAGUCUACUAUGGGGGAAGCGUGGACCCUCCUGGGGGAGUUUUGGCGAGUGUCCACUGCCAGGUGUCAGGCAGGUUCCCCAGGCUUAGCCUACGGGCAGCAGCUGGGAGGCUGGCUGGGGAAGGCCGAGCUCCCUCCUCGCUCUCCAGUCCUAGGUUUAAGACCUGGUGUGCUUCAUGACCUCGUUCCUCCACCAAAAAAUACCGAGCAUGCUUUACCGACUGCAUCUCGUUGGGCCCAUUACUGUUAUUAUUAUUUGUUAUUAUUCUUUGUCGCUAUGGAUAUGUGACUUUCAGCGAAAUACAAGAGUAAUGCAUUGGGUGCAUAUUGGCCACUAGGUGGCAGCACGAGGCCACCAGAUGCUUACGGGUAGCUGGUAAACUAUGGGGAAAGACAGAGGACUCCACCUCUGACUCACAGACGGCUUUGGCUUCUCACAGCGUUUCCUCACAUUGCUGGGUUUGCACCUCACACCAGGCCCAGGAAACUGGCGGGUGGGGCAAAAGUCAUUGCCCCACUCCGAGGGCCAAGCGAAGGGAGGGCUACCCUGGGAGGGCCAGUGUCGUCUGAGGUCACAGAGGGGCAGAGGCGGAGGCCACCGGGAUCCUGGCUCCCCCUGGGAAACUCCUCCCUCGGAGCCUCAGAUAAGCUGGGUACUGAGAAGUGGACUAGGGCAGAAACCAGGAGGAAGGACAGCAGUUAUUUUUACACCGUCGCUCAGCUCAGUCUUGAAGCAAGCAGUAGCUUCAAGCGUGGCUUAGGUCUGCUUUUCACGCCUCACCAGGGGAGACUGUACUUUAGACUCUGACAGAAACCAACUCUCCCCGCCUCCCUCUGGGCCGAGCUUGUCCUUCUUCAAGCUUUCUCUGACCCUGCGCCGGUGGGAGGUCUGCUGGGCGGCCUCCCUCAGGACUGAGCACAAAGGGCAAUUCACUGUAUAUGUUGCACGGGCUGGACGACCCGGAAAGGCGAAUCAAGAAGAAAAGGCCACAAAACAGAACACAGGCAUGGAAUGAUCUGAUUGUGGGGAAGCGAUUUUCUGACCCCGAGGAGGAAGAGCCAGGGGGUUGCCAGGCAGAGUGUGCCGGGCACUUCAUGUCUGCGCUCGGCGCUUUCCCCUUGCUUCUUUCCCUCUGAGGUAGGAACACCAGCAAGAAGGCAAAGUCCGAGCUGGAGUCUGGACACUGGAAAGCUCUCUUACCACCCAGAGACUAGCGUUCAGUGUCUUUCUGAGAAGGUGAACAAACCUACAGAAGAGAGAAAAGCUAGAGGUUCCUUGUAGAUGAGAAAAAGCUAUUGUUCAUUAGUGGGGGUGGGAUGCAUAAAAUGCCAACUAAUUAUGAACCGGAUACAGCAGGACGCAACCUGGCCUGGGUGGUUCUUUUAAUUUUUUAUAAUUUAAAAAAUUUGUGUGUGGGGGCUUAGGGGGAGCUGGAGAGAUGGCUCAGAGGUCAAAAGCACUGUCUGCUCUUCCAGAGGUCUUGAGCUCAAUGUUCAGCAACUACAUGGUGGCUCACAACCAUCUAUAAUAAGAUCUGGUGCUCUCUUCUGGCCUACAGGCAUGCAUGCAGGCAAAACAUCGUAUACAUAAUAAAGAACUAAAUCUUUUUAAAAAAUGAAAAAAA